GCCCUUGUAGCUUAACUAAAGCAUUGGCCUUGUAAGCCAAAGAAUGGAAGCUUAUCCCUUCCCUAUGGCA
RNAcentral lists this transfer RNA (70 nucleotides) under Scutiger ningshanensis (Ningshan alpine toad). RNAcentral's name for it is "tRNA-Thr". It matches the Rfam family "tRNA". From Rfam's summary of the family: Transfer RNA (tRNA) molecules are approximately 80 nucleotides in length. Lineage: Eukaryota; Metazoa; Chordata; Amphibia; Anura; Megophryidae. The record is from RNAcentral.